Molecule: ribosomal RNA, 497 nt
Filed under: uncultured bacterium
Lineage: Bacteria
Description: partial 16S ribosomal RNA
Rfam family: Bacterial small subunit ribosomal RNA
Source: RNAcentral
GAUGAACGCUGGCGGCGUGCCUAAUACAUGCAAGUCGAGCGAACGGACGAGAAGCUUGCUUCUCUGAUGUUAGCGGCGGACGGGUGAGUAACACGUGGAUAACCUACCUAUAAGACUGGGAUAACUUCGGGAAACCGGAGCUAAUACCGGAUAAUAUUUUGAACCGCAUGGUUCAAAAGUGAAAGACGGUCUUGCUGUCACUUAUAGAUGGAUCCGCGCUGCAUUAGCUAGUUGGUAAGGUAACGGCUUACCAAGGCAACGAUGCAUAGACGACCUGAGAGGGUGAUCAGCCACACUGGAACUGAGACACGGUCCAGACUCCUACGGGAGGCAGCAGUAGGGAAUCUUCCGCAAUGGGCGAAAGCCUGACGGAGCAACGCCGCGUGGGUGAUGAAGGUCUUCGGAUCGUAAAACUCUGUUAUUAGGGAAGAACAUAUGUGUAAGUAACUGUGCACAUCUUGACGGUACCUAAUCAGAAAGCCACGGCUAACUACGUG